CAGCCGCCGCGUAAUACCGAGGGUGCGAGCGUUAAUCGGAUUUACUGGGCGUAAAGCGUGCGUAGGCGGCUUUUUAAGUCGGAUGUGAAAUCCCUGAGCUUAACUUAGGAAUUGCAUUCGAUACUGGGAAGCUAGAGUAUGGGAGAGGAUGGUAGAAUUCCAGGUGUAGCGGUGAAAUGCGUAGAGAUCUGGAGGAAUACCGAUGGCGAAGGCAGCCAUCUGGCCUAAUACUGACGCUGAGGUACGAAAGCAUGGGGAGCAAACAGGAUUAGAGACCCCAGUAGUCCCUGUCUCUUAUACC
RNAcentral lists this ribosomal RNA (301 nucleotides) under uncultured bacterium. RNAcentral describes it as "partial 16S ribosomal RNA". It matches the Rfam family "Bacterial small subunit ribosomal RNA", at positions 509 to 808 of the family's 1533-position model. The record is from RNAcentral.